UGGGGAAUAUUGCACAAUGGGCGCAAGCCUGAUGCAGCGACGCCGCGUGAGGGAUGACGGCCUUCGGGUUGUAAACCUCUUUCAGCAGGGACGAAGCGCAAGUGACGGUACCUGCAGAAGAAGCACCGGCCAACUACGUGCCAGCAGCCGCGGUAAUACGUAGGGUGCGAGCGUUGUCCGGAAUUACUGGGCGUAAAGAGCUCGUAGGCGGUUUGUCGCGUCGUCUGUGAAAUUCUGCAGCUUAACUGCAGGCGUGCAGGCGAUACGGGCAGACUUGAGUACUACAGGGGAGACUGGAAUUCCUGGUGUAGCGGUGAAAUGCGCAGAUAUCAGGAGGAACACCGGUGGCGAAGGCGGGUCUCUGGGUAGUAACUGACGCUGAGGAGCGAAAGCGUGGGUAGCGAACAGGAUUAGAUACCCUGGUAGUCCACGCCGUAAACGGUGGGUACUAGGUGUGGGUUCCAUUUCACGGGAUCCGUGCCGUAGCUAACGCAUUAAGUACCCGCCUGGGGAGUACGGCCGCAAGGCUAAAACUCAAAUGAAUUGACGGGGUCAUAGCUG
Molecule: ribosomal RNA, 561 nt
Filed under: uncultured bacterium
Lineage: Bacteria
Description: partial 16S ribosomal RNA
Rfam family: Bacterial small subunit ribosomal RNA
Source: RNAcentral